This 1021-nucleotide long non-coding RNA is filed under the name Mus spicilegus (steppe mouse). RNAcentral's name for it is "lncRNA (ENSMSIG00000005798.1)". Lineage: Eukaryota; Metazoa; Chordata; Mammalia; Rodentia; Muridae. The record is from RNAcentral.
GAAGACUGUCGUGACAGUCUCACUGGGCUGUAGACCCUGUGUGCAACAAUAUCAGCAGACGCUCCUGGCUAGGGAGGUCAGAGGCGCUAAUGGGGAAGCUACUGCGGCUAUUUUGCUAAAUGAACAUGAUGUGCCUGUCAAAUUGCCUUCUAAAUAACUAUGUUUAUGCCAACAGAUGACGGCUGUUAGCAACUUUGGUCGGAGAAGCUUACGUUUGCCGUGAUCAGCAGUCAGUGUAGAGUCCCACAACUGGUCAGAGUGCUAAGACUAAGUGGCGGCUGAGCUAUGGAUAUAAAUGGGACAUCUGUGCCACCCCCUGCCAAAGCUUGGAGAACACUGUGUAGGAAGGAGCUGCAGAACACUGAUUUCCAGGCAUGGCCUGAUAUGGAACUCCUGAACUCAAAGCGACUGUGAUGACCUGCAGAAGGUCUGUAUAAGAUUGGGCCCAGCAGCAGAGGAGGGGGCAGAUCUCACAGGGUUCUAAUGCUCCCCGAGGGUUUGUGCACAAUGGUUGCUAGGAGAUGGGAAAAGACGAUUUCUUCACUUGUGUAGCCAUUGGCUAGGCACGCAUGCUCAUGAACAAUGACAAAAACAACAACAAAAUCCAACCAAACACCCUUACCAAACACCAUGAUGAUCCUGUCAGUAACCUGAAUGCUAACAGGAGUGGGAAGGAGACUAGAGAAGAUAAGGAAAAUGUAGACUUAAGAUGCAAUAUAAUUUGUUCUCCGAAUGGUGUUUUUGGCAUACAAGACAGAACAGGGAAAUUGUAGGAAGAAAUUGCACCAUUCCACUUGGAAGCAUCCAAUAGCUAUUGAGAUGGUGGCCUGCCACAAGAAGGCAACAUUGUGGCUCCCAGACAUACAGCAGUGACUGUCUCUCAGAACAAUGUCCAGAUCCUAUGAACAGUGAAGUAAAGGAUUAUUGAAAGCAAGAGAGAAACUGACAUCAGCGGAAACAGUUGCUAAUAGCAGAUGCUCCAAAGUGAGGCCUGUGUAGACAGAAUGCAUUUACAGGCUGG